RNAcentral lists this non-coding RNA (77 nucleotides) under Pseudomonas aeruginosa. The record is from RNAcentral. Lineage: Bacteria; Pseudomonadati; Pseudomonadota; Gammaproteobacteria; Pseudomonadales; Pseudomonadaceae.
UUGAGCCGUAUGCGUCGAAAGGCGCACGUACGGUUCUUAGGGGGGGAUCAGCCAGCAAUGGCUCAUCCCCACCCGAC